This 184-nucleotide unclassified non-coding RNA is filed under the name soil metagenome. RNAcentral describes it as "partial internal transcribed spacer 1". The record is from RNAcentral.
AAAGAUAUAGCAUAUUCUUCUGAAUAUACUUUAUUAACCCAUUCCGAGUACCUUACCUGUUGCUUCCGCGAGGCUGUCCUCACGGCCCUCUGAAGAUUUAUCUUUGGGGAGUCCUUGCGGAAGGUAUACAAUAAACUCUUGCAUUACCAUGUCAUCUGUCUGGAUCUGUUUAAAACAAAUAUUA